This is a long non-coding RNA of Rhinichthys klamathensis goyatoka, 241 nucleotides long. RefSeq lists it as uncharacterized. The transcript has 2 exons. The record is from RefSeq and is a predicted model, not a curated record. Lineage: Eukaryota; Metazoa; Chordata; Actinopteri; Cypriniformes; Leuciscidae.
ACGCUCUCACACGUUUAUUUUUUAGCAUUUGUGGGAGGAGUGAAAUUUACAUAUGUGGUUUCAACAACCAGAUGCAUUUACACUUGUCCAGUUUCACCUCCUCCUGAUGUGGUUUGAGCGAUCGGAUUCAAAUCCGUCUCGAAUGUGUUUCGGAGGGCAUUUACACCUGGUCUUUUCACGAUCGGAUAGCUAUCCAAUCACAGAAAACGCAUGAAGUGGCCAGGUGUAAACAGCCCCUUAG